GACGAACGCUGGCGGCGUGCUUAACACAUGCAAGUCGAACGGUGAAGCGCCAGCUUGCUGGAGUGGAACAGUGGCGAACGGGUGAGUAACACGUGAGCAACCUGCCCCGGACGGGGGAAUAAGCGCUGGAAACGGCGUAUAAUACAGGAGACGAGAAGGGGCAGCAGGGGCAUCUUCGGGAAAGUUGUGCGGUGGGGGAUGGGCGCGCGGUUGAUCAGCUGGUUGGGGAGGUAAUGGCCCACCAAGGCGACGACGGGUAGCCGGCCUGAGAGGGCGACCGGCCACACUGGUACUGAGACACGGCCCAGACUCCUACGGGAGGCAGCAGUGGGGAAUAUUGCACAAUGGGCGAAAGCCUGAUGCAGCGACGCCGCGUGAGGGAUGACGGCCUUCGGGUUGUAAACCUCUUUCAGCAGGGAAGAAGCGAAAGUGACGGUACCUGCAGAAGAAGCACCGGCUAACUACGUG
RNAcentral lists this ribosomal RNA (468 nucleotides) under uncultured bacterium. Its description in RNAcentral is "partial 16S ribosomal RNA". It matches the Rfam family "Bacterial small subunit ribosomal RNA", at positions 28 to 507 of the family's 1533-position model. The record is from RNAcentral.